Molecule: long non-coding RNA, 1205 nt
Organism: Solanum lycopersicum (tomato)
Lineage: Eukaryota; Viridiplantae; Streptophyta; Magnoliopsida; Solanales; Solanaceae
Source: RefSeq, a predicted model, not a curated record
CAUAUGGUUUUGUCUUUAAGUUGAUAAAGUUGGUUCUUUGUAUAUGUGGUUGAGAAAAAUUUAUAUAGGAGAUAUUUGUUUCAAGUUCACAUUAUAUUACUUUUUUUUGGUUUGGGGAAGGGGGGCAUUGAAUGCUAAGUGUUUGGAUUGAAAUCUCCCUAGCUAGUUUGAUUUCUUCUUCUCUAUCAUUUGAAAAAUAUGGAGGAUGAGAUGGAAAAUGAAAAAUCUCCAAUUACUAUCCUGUGAUACUUUUUCCCCAAAAACAGUCUUAUGGAAUACGAGUAGAUAUUGAUGUACAUGGGAUGGAUUACAACUUGAUUAGAAAACAUUGGACACAAUACUUCAAAACUUCCCAAAAACGGUCUUAUGGAAUGCGAGUAGAGAUUGUUGUACUUUCUCUCCCUGAUGUCAACAUCUCAUCUUCUAUACCUAUGAAUAUGUCUUCCUCCUUAAGGUGAAAUGCUUGACGUUUUCUCUAACCUCCAAGAUCUUUGACAACAUGAAUUAUGCGGUUCCUAAACCUUUCGCAUAAUUCAUUAACAAGCCACCUACCACAAGUUCAUUACCACAAUUUAGAGUAUCUUGAUCUUAAAUUUAACUUCUUUCAGGGUCCACUACCUUCAUCCAUUUGUAACAUGAGCUGGCUUGGAUUUCUAGAUUUAUCACACAACAACUUCAGUAACUCGAUUUCAAGUUGCUUGAGAAGCAUGGCUAGUCUAAGGGUGUUGGACUUGAGAAGGAACAAUUUCACGGAGAGUCUUUCACCAUUAUGUGUGCUGAGUACCGAUUUUCUUGAAUGGUAACCGAUUUGAAAGACCUAUCCCAAUAUCAUAUUAAACUAAGAUGAAGACGAGUCAUAUUUCUUAAGUGGAUUUACUUGGGAAUCCGUAGUCAUAGGCUACAGUUUUGGACUAGUUAUUGGUCAUGUGGAGUCUCAUGUUUAGAUAUCGUAAACCAAAAUGAUUUGUGGAAUUUUUUGAUGUCAUCGUGCCUCACGAAAAUAGAAGGCCAAAGAAGAGAGCUCGGAGACAACGGACUUAAUGUUGAAAAUAAUCUCAUCAAUAUUAUGCUUUUAUUUUUUGUUCUUUUACUUUGUCUAAAUUCUCUCUUUGUUAUUUGCAUCUGUUAGAUACCUCUUGAAUUAUUUUUAGCAUUUGCUUUGACUAUUGAAUUGAAGUUAUAAAAAGCAGUUUUCUUUGCUUGUG